GACGAACGCUGGCGGCGUGCUUAACACAUGCAAGUCGAACGGUGAAGCUCCAGCGUGCUGGAGUGUAUCAGUUGCGAACGGGUGAGUAACACGUGAGCAACCUGCCUCUGACUCUGGAAUAAGCGCUGGAAACGGCGGCUAAUACUGGAUACUAGAAGGGUCCGCAUGGGCUCUUUCUGGAAAGUGUUUCGGCUUGGGAUGGGCGGGCGGCCUAGCAGCUUGUUGGUGAGGUAAUGGCGCACCCAGGCGACGACGGGGGGCCGGCCUGGGAGUGCGACCGGCCACACAGGGACACGGAAACCGGCCAGACUGAUACUGCAGGAAGCGGUGGAGAAUUGUGCGCAAAGGGCGGAGGCCGGAAGCAGCGACGCCGCGUGGUAGAUGACGGCCUUCGGGUUGUAAACCUCUUUCAGCAGGGAAGAAGAGAAAGUGACGGUACCUUCAGAAAAAGCACCGGCUAACUACGUG
Molecule: ribosomal RNA, 468 nt
Filed under: uncultured bacterium
Lineage: Bacteria
Description: partial 16S ribosomal RNA
Rfam family: Bacterial small subunit ribosomal RNA
Source: RNAcentral